AGACACCUACGGGUGGCAGCAGUUUCGAAUCAUUCACAAUGGGGGCAACCCUGAUGGUGCAACGCCGCGUGAGGGAUGAAGGCCUUCGGGUCGUAAACCUCUGUCACCGGGGAGCAACAAGCGGGUUCAUAGCCCGCCCUGAGUUAACCCGGAGAGGAAGCAGUGGCUAACUCCGUGCCAGCAGCCGCGGUAAUACGGAGACUGCAAGCGUUACUCGGAUUCACUGGGCGUAAGGGGUGCGCAGGCGGAUAGAUGUGUGAGGUGUGAAAUCUCGGGGCUCAACCUCGAAACUGCGCCUCAAACUGUCUAUCUAGAGUAUUGGAGGGGUAAGUGGAAUUUCUGGUGUAGCGGUGAAAUGCGUAGAUAUCAGAAGGAACACCAAUGGCGAAGGCAGCUUACUGGACAAAUACUGACGCUGAGGCACGAAAGCAUGGGUAGCGAAAGGGAUUAGAUACCCCUGUAGUCCAUGCCGUAAACGUUGUACACUAGGUCUUGGGGGUUUCGACCCUUUCAGACCCCAGCUAACGCGAUAAGUGUACCGCCUGAGGACUACGGCCGCAAGGCUAAAACUCAAGGAAUUGACGGGGCCCGCACAAGCGGU
Molecule: ribosomal RNA, 601 nt
Filed under: uncultured bacterium
Lineage: Bacteria
Description: bacterial SSU rRNA
Rfam family: Bacterial small subunit ribosomal RNA
Source: RNAcentral